RNAcentral lists this ribosomal RNA (321 nucleotides) under uncultured Prevotella sp. RNAcentral's name for it is "partial 16S ribosomal RNA". The record is from RNAcentral. Lineage: Bacteria; Pseudomonadati; Bacteroidota; Bacteroidia; Bacteroidales; Prevotellaceae.
GGAGUUUGGUCCGUGUCUCAGUACCAAUGUGGGGGACCUUCCUCUCAGAACCCCUACUGAUCGUCGCCUUGGUGGGCCGUUACCCCGCCAACUGGCUAAUCAGACGCAUCCCCAUCCCUUACCGAUGAAUCUUUGCUCCUCGUUAGAUGCCCGCAAAGGAGAAACAUAGGGCAUUAAUCCGACUUUCGCCGGGCUAUCCUCUAGUAAGGGGAAGGUUGGAUACGCGUUACUCACCCGUGCGCCGGUCGCCAUCAAAGGAAGCAAGCUUCCUUCAUGCUGCCCCACGACUUGCAUGUGUUAAGCCUGUAGCUAGCGUUCAUC